AUGCUCGCUUCAGCAGCACAUAUACUAAAAUAAUUGGAAUGAUACAGAGAGGAUUAGCAUGGCUCAUGAGCAAGGAUGACAUGCAAAUUCGUGAAGCAUUCCAUAUUUUU
Molecule: non-coding RNA, 110 nt
Organism: Myotis brandtii (Brandt's bat)
Lineage: Eukaryota; Metazoa; Chordata; Mammalia; Chiroptera; Vespertilionidae
Source: Rfam